UAUGCUGAUGAUUAACAUUAAGUGAACAAUCUCUGAUCAAUAGCCUCGCAAGGGUUAUUGGACUGAUUAAAAACUAUGUUGCCUUCCUUCUGAAU
Molecule: small nucleolar RNA, 95 nt
Filed under: Henningerozyma blattae CBS 6284
Lineage: Eukaryota; Fungi; Ascomycota; Saccharomycetes; Saccharomycetales; Saccharomycetaceae
Description: Tetrapisispora blattae CBS 6284 Small nucleolar RNA snR52
Rfam family: Small nucleolar RNA snR52
Source: Rfam by way of RNAcentral